UGAGGAAUAUUGGUCAAUGGGCGGAAGCCUGAACCAGCCAAGUCGCGUGAGGGAAGAAGGCCCUAUGGGUCGUAAACCUCUUUUGUCAGGGAACAAAAGCGAGUAUGUAUACUAGUCUGAGUGUACCUGAAGAAAAAGCAUCGGCUAACUCCGUGCCAGCAGCCGCGGUAAUACGGAGGAUGCGAGCGUUAUCCGGAUUUAUUGGGUUUAAAGGGUGCGUAGGCGGCGAUGCAAGUCAGCGGUAAAAGCCCGGGGCUCAACCCCGGCGAGCCGUUGAAACUGCAGUGCUAGAGAAGGCGAGAGGUACGCGGAAUGCGCAGUGUAGCGGUGAAAUGCUUAGAUAUUGCGCAGAACUCCGAUUGCGAAGGCAGCGUACUGGCGCCUGACUGACGCUGAGGCACGAAAGCGUGGGGGAUCGAACAGGAUUAGAUACC
This 434-nucleotide ribosomal RNA is filed under the name uncultured bacterium. Its description in RNAcentral is "bacterial SSU rRNA". It matches the Rfam family "Bacterial small subunit ribosomal RNA", at positions 355 to 786 of the family's 1533-position model. The record is from RNAcentral.